GAUGAAGAACGUAGCGAAAUGCGAUAAGUAAUGUGAAUUGCAGAAUUCAGUGAAUCAUCGAAUCUUUGAACGCACAUUGCGCCCGCCAGUAUUCUGGCGAGCAUGCCUGUUCGAGCGUCAUUUCAACCAUCAAGCCCAAGGCUUGUGUUGGAGCCCUGCGGCUGCCGCAGCCUCCCAAAACCAGUGGCGGGCUCGCUAUCACACCGAGUGCAGUAGUUUACUCUUCGCUCAGGGCGUGUGGCGGGUGCUAGCCGUGAAACCCCCAACUUCUCAAGGUUGACCUCGGAUCAGGUAGGAAUACCCGCUGAACUUAAGCAUAUCAAUAAGCGGAGGA
Molecule: unclassified non-coding RNA, 334 nt
Filed under: soil metagenome
Description: partial contains 5.8S ribosomal RNA, internal transcribed spacer 2, and large subunit ribosomal RNA
Rfam family: 5.8S ribosomal RNA (bases 1-120)
Source: RNAcentral